Non-coding RNA from Hydra vulgaris (swiftwater hydra), 231 nucleotides. Lineage: Eukaryota; Metazoa; Cnidaria; Hydrozoa; Anthoathecata; Hydridae. The record is from RefSeq and is a predicted model, not a curated record.
GAAAGGAGUUGUUUGGAAUGAAGAUUUACAAGAAGAAGUAAUUCCAUCUAAUUGAAUUAGUGAUAAAAUUGUUUGUCGGCUUCCAGAGUAUUUUCGAAAAGUUAUAUGGUCUCUAUGGAUAUGAAGGGCAAAGCUUCUUUUAUUGUAUUCAAUGGACCAAAAAAACCCUCGGUUAAUGGAACAUUGUUUGACUUUCUAAAUUACGCUUUAUUUCAAAAAGGUGGUGGAAAA